Hipposideros armiger (great roundleaf bat) is the source of this 2299-nucleotide long non-coding RNA. RefSeq lists it as uncharacterized. The transcript has 3 exons. The record is from RefSeq and is a predicted model, not a curated record. Lineage: Eukaryota; Metazoa; Chordata; Mammalia; Chiroptera; Hipposideridae.
AGAGAGCAAAAGCCUCAUUUUUUCCCGUCAAAAGCAGCCAUGAGCAACUUGGAAUUUCUAUCUUUAGAAUGAACCAAAGGAGGUAGGAGCCGGACCUAGCGAAGGAGCUGGCGACCCAUUUACUUCUUGAAAGAAAGAUGGCACAGUGUUUGGAAAGGCUGCUUGCCAGAGGCGCUGAGAGGAUUAGAUCGGGCUGACCACUUCCUGCAGAAGGGAGGACCACGUCACCUGGUCACGGAGUGUCACUCCCCAUUACAGCUGCAGGAAGCCACAGCUCACACCAGGAGUUGCCAUGCCCUGGGGCCAUUGCCAACACUCACCGAUGACGAACAUCCUGGCUGAGGGAUGUUACACUCCAAAAGGAUUUGCUAGCACCUUCAAAGAGAAAAGAAAAAGGAGCAAGAAGAAAGAUGUUCUAAGGAAGGACCACGUAAAUACAUUAAGAGUGUUCAUGAUGGGGGUUGGUAAGUGGGAGUGCACAGUGCGGGGACCUGUUCAUGUUAGAGAAGCUGAGGAAUUUAGGUCAGAUGGAUUGAGCAGCUGUGGGCUGCUACUCACUCCAGGUUUCCUCAUCAGCCUGACUCAUACUCUAACAUUUCUAGAGAAAGGCCUGUCAGUGGGGAAAGUAUAGGGAAAUUGGGAGGAUGAAAAGGCUGGCAUCAGGAAGAAUAGGGAGAAGGCCAUGCCAGGGUUCCAGGUAUGACCAUAGAUGGGAUCUGUAAAAAGUUUGUGCAAAAAUCCUGGUUACCUGUGACUCGUGUUGAGUUAACCUUCCAUGACACCAAUGAGGAGGUGAGAGAGGUUAACUCAGCCAGAAAGGGCCAAAGGAGGGGGGAUUUGUACCGGGUUCUGUCUCACCAGACAACAUGAAUUAUGAUUUUUUUUAAUUGAAAAUAAUAAAUUCUAUUUCUAGUUUGUUUGUAUUUAGGGAUCGGAAGUACAUGCAACAGGAAGUGACUGCAACAUGGUGAAUGGAGGCUGAAGCGAAGGUGAAUGAGAUGCAUGUUGGAGGUGUGGCUGUGGUCGUUUUCUGUGAUAAUUGAUGAUUCAUCUCCACCAGAUGAGUUGAAACCUGUUCAGAGGAUGUUAACGUGAUGUUACAAAAAAGGAGAUAUGUUUUGUGGUUACUUGUAAGAACCAAAUAAUCACUUGGAGGUUUGGUAUUUGUGAGAUGAACCCUGAGUAGCCCUCUAAAUACAGUGUGAGAAAGAAGUGACUUGUAGUUAUCACUCAAGGUUAUUUUCCAAUACAUAGUGCAUUAGAACGAUAAUUUUUAAAACAUGAAGAACAGCAUCCUCUAGCACAAUUUUUGAAUUGUGCACCGUGGAACCCUAGUUCAGCAGGGCUCUAUGUAUAAGUGUUACAUGCAUAUGUGAAAAGGGUUUGUAAUCGAGUAAGUCUGAGAAAUAAGCAGUUAAACAUAUCUUUACCUUAGAAUGCCUACAAUCCUUUAAAAUGCUAUCGUGCGUUUUGAAUUUUAAAGACAGUAGCUCUUUAUGCAGCAUUGCUUUCUGUCCCCCUGUUUUGGUUUCGUUUUGUGUUUUUUGUAUCAAAUCCGGGACUAGAGUUGCAUAAAGCAAGCUUUAGGGAACUCUGUGUUGGAAGCAUUCUGUGGACUCUUGGAUUUCUUUGUUAAGACCCUUGCAGAAAUGAAGGUUUACAGUGUACAUUUUUGUCAAAGCAGAUGGGUGCUUUCCACUGAAAGGUGUUUCCAAGCAUGACCUUGAAGAUAAUAGAGGAAGAAAGUCGGAAUAUUAGGCUGACAGAUACUUUAAAGUAGGGCAUAACAGAUGCCAUAAAAAGCAUUCUGCAAGUUGAAAGUAGGAGUUAAAAUGUGUGUUAGAUGGAAGAUACUGGAGUAGAGUCUUUGAAUAUUUAUAGCACAAUCGUGCCAGUAUCUGACCAGCUUCUCCCCAGUUCCAGGGAGAAAUGGGACAGAAUCCACCUCACAUAUGAGAUUGCUUCUCUUUCAGUUUUCCUAUGUAAAAAGGAGGAAGUAUGGCUAAGUUUACAAAGGUAAGCUUCAGGAUAAGACUUGAGCUCACAGCCUUCCCUUUAAUCUUCUGGGACAGGGACCCUCAAGAAAUACUCCAGACCUCCACGAGCAUGAGUGAGGAGUUCCAGCAAGGAGGAUUGAAGGAGAUAGCUGUUGGAUUAAUUUUAAGAAGCCUCUGCUGACAUGUCUCAUAAAGUAUAUAGAGAGAGCAAAGGCAUAGGCUAUACAGAAUUCUCUGGGUCAAAAAAAGAAAUCUGGGGCCAGCCGAGUGGCGCAUUGGUUAAGAGCUGGCUUGGGAUGCCA